RNAcentral lists this ribosomal RNA (253 nucleotides) under uncultured bacterium. RNAcentral's name for it is "partial 16S ribosomal RNA". It matches the Rfam family "Archaeal small subunit ribosomal RNA", at positions 474 to 727 of the family's 1478-position model. The record is from RNAcentral.
UACCAGCACCCCGAGUGGUCGGGACGAUUAUUGGGCCUAAAGCAUCCGUAGCCGGUCAUGCAAGUCCUCCGUUAACUCCACCUGCUUAACAGAUGGGCUGCGGAGGAUACUACAAGGCUAGGAGGCGGAAGAGGCAAGCGGUACUCAGUGGGUAGGGGUAAAAUCCUCUGAUCCAUUGAAGACCACCAGUGGCGAAGGCGGCUUGCCAAUACGCGCUCGACGGUGAGGGAUGAAAGCUGGGGGAGCAAACCGG